This is a non-coding RNA of Paramuricea clavata, 73 nucleotides long. The record is from the annotation of a GenBank genome assembly. Lineage: Eukaryota; Metazoa; Cnidaria; Anthozoa; Malacalcyonacea; Plexauridae.
GCCUCUGUAGCUCAGUUCGUUAGAGCGCUUCACCAGAAUUGCAGGGCCGCAGGUCCGAUUCCUGCCAGGGACA